GGAAGGGUGGGGAUGACGUCAAGUCCUCAUGGCCCUUAUGGGUAGGGCUUCACACGUAAUACAAUGGUCGGUACAGGAGGGUUGCCAACCCGCGAGGGGGAGCCAAUCCCAGAAAACCGAUCGUAGUCCGGAUUGCAGUCUGCAACUCGACUGCAUGAAGUCGGAAUCGCUAGUAAUCGCGGAUCAGCAUGUCGCGGUGAAUACGUUCCCGGGCCUU
Molecule: ribosomal RNA, 217 nt
Filed under: uncultured Alcaligenaceae bacterium
Lineage: Bacteria; Pseudomonadati; Pseudomonadota; Betaproteobacteria; Burkholderiales; Alcaligenaceae
Description: partial 16S ribosomal RNA
Rfam family: Bacterial small subunit ribosomal RNA
Source: RNAcentral